RNAcentral lists this ribosomal RNA (254 nucleotides) under uncultured bacterium. RNAcentral's name for it is "partial 16S ribosomal RNA". It matches the Rfam family "Bacterial small subunit ribosomal RNA", at positions 524 to 776 of the family's 1533-position model. The record is from RNAcentral.
GACGAACCGUGCGAACGUUAUUCGGAAUCACUGGGCUUAAAGCGCGUGUAGGCGGGUCGGUGCGUCGGCCGCUGAAAUCCCCCGGCUCAACCGGGGAAGGGGCGCCGAUACGACCGGCCUGGAGCGACGUAGGGGGAACUGGAACUUCCGGUGGAGCGGUGAAAUGCGCAGAUAUCAGGAAGAACACCUAUGGCGAAAGCAGCUCUCUGGGACGGUACUGACGCUGAGACGCGAAAGCGUGGGGAGCGAACAGG